GCGGCGAACGGGUGAGGAAUGCAUGGGUAACCUACCCUCGAGUGGGGAAUAACUAGCCGAAAGGUUAGCUAAUACCGCAUACGUUUCCGGGACUUCGGUUCCGGAAAGAAAGCAAUACCGUGGGUAUUGCGCUCAUGGAUGGGCUCAUGUCCUAUCAGCUUGUUGGUGAGGUAACGGCUCACCAAGGCUUCGACGGGUAGCUGGUCUGAGAGGACGAUCAGCCACACUGGCACUGCGACACGGGCCAGACUCCUACGGGAGGCAGCAGUAAGGAAUAUUGCGCAAUGGACGAAAGUCUGACGCAGCGACGCCGCGUGGGGGAUGAAGGUCUUCGGAUUGUAAACCCCUUUCGGGAGGGAAGAUGGAGUGGGUAACCACUUGGACGGUACCUCCAGAAGCAGCCACGGCUAACUUCGUGCCAGCAGCCGCGGUAAUACGAAGGUGGCAAGCGUUGUUCGGAUUCACUGGGCGUACAGGGAGCGUAGGCGGUUGGGUAAGCCCUCCGUGAAAUCUCCGGGCCUAACCCGGAAAGUGCAGAGGGGACUGCUCAGCUAGAGGAUGGGAGAGGAGCGUGGAAUUCCCGGUGUAGCGGUGAAAUGCGUAGAGAUCGGGAGGAAGGCCGGUGGCGAAGGCGGCGCUCUGGAACAUUUCUGACGCUGAGGCUCGAAAGCGUGGGGAGCAAACAGGAUUAGAUACCCUGGUAGUCCACGCCUUAAACUAUGGAUACUAAGUGUCGGCGGUUUACCGCCGGUGCCGCAGCUAACGCAAUAAGUAUCCCG
RNAcentral lists this ribosomal RNA (779 nucleotides) under uncultured bacterium. Its description in RNAcentral is "bacterial SSU rRNA". It matches the Rfam family "Bacterial small subunit ribosomal RNA", at positions 95 to 871 of the family's 1533-position model. The record is from RNAcentral.